GAUGAACGCUGGCGGCGUGCCUAAUACAUGCAAGUCGAGCGAACAGAUGAGGAGCUUGCUCCUCUGACGUUAGCGGCGGACGGGUGAGUAACACGUGGAUAACCUACCUAUAAGACUGGGAUAACUUCGGGAAACCGGAGCUAAUACCGGAUAAUAUAUUGAACCGCAUGGUUCAAUAGUGAAAGACGGUUUUGCUGUCACUUAUAGAUGGAUCCGCGCCGCAUUAGCUAGUUGGUAAGGUAACGGCUUACCAAGGCGACGAUGCGUAGCCGACCUGAGAGGGUGAUCGGCCGCACUGGAACGGGGACACGGUCCAGGCUCCUACGGGAGGCAGCAGUAGGGAAUCUUCCGCAAUGGGCGAAAGCCUGACGGAGCAGCGCCGCGUGAGUGAUGAAGGUCUUCGGAUCGUAAAACUCUGUUAUUAGGGAAGAACAAAUGUGUAAGUAACUAUGCACGUCUUGACGGUACCUAAUCAGAAAGCCACGGCUAACUACGUG
Molecule: ribosomal RNA, 497 nt
Filed under: uncultured bacterium
Lineage: Bacteria
Description: partial 16S ribosomal RNA
Rfam family: Bacterial small subunit ribosomal RNA
Source: RNAcentral